Molecule: ribosomal RNA, 165 nt
Filed under: uncultured bacterium
Lineage: Bacteria
Description: partial 16S rRNA
Rfam family: Bacterial small subunit ribosomal RNA
Source: RNAcentral
UAGGGAAUCUUCGGCAAUGGGGGCAACCCUGACCGAGCAACGCCGCGUGAGUGAAGAAGGUUCUCGGAUCGUAAAGCUCUGUUGUAAGAGAAGAACGUGUGUGAGAGUGGAAAAUUCACACAGUGACGGUAACUUACCAGAAAGGGACGGCUAACUACGUGCCAG